CAUUUGCGAGUUGAGGACAGAUGAAGUGUACAUGACAGUCAAUUCCUCCAGCAGUUACAAUCAUUCCUUCCCCUGCAAUAACCUCGGUAUUCACCUGCAUUUUAAUACACGGAGAGGCACAAUAGUAAAACAGAAAAACAAUAUUAAACAAUGGUGCAAUAUCAACACAUAAAAUAAUACAUCAUGAUCAACAAAGAAAGGGAAGAAAAUUACACCAACUAUCAUAUCCUUGUGCACACCGUCCAUUACAUCUGGAUUCCCCGCCUUACCAAUGGAGCUGAUGAACUCCCCUUUAAUGCCUAUAUCUGCCUUGUAGAUCCCCAUAUAGUCAAUGAUCAAGGCAUUUGUGAUAACAGUAUCCAAGCAAACGGAUGACGGGUAACCAGUUGCUUGUCCCAUCCCAUCACGUAGG
Molecule: small RNA, 412 nt
Filed under: Amborella trichopoda
Lineage: Eukaryota; Viridiplantae; Streptophyta; Magnoliopsida; Amborellales; Amborellaceae
Description: 5' ureB small RNA
Rfam family: 5' ureB small RNA
Source: Rfam by way of RNAcentral